Molecule: ribosomal RNA, 1391 nt
Rfam family: Microsporidia small subunit ribosomal RNA
CACCAGGUUGAUUCUGCCUGAUAUGUGUGCUAGCGUCAAAGAUUUAGCCAUGCAUGCUUUUCGAACCCUCGUGGGGAGAGGCGGAUAGCUCAGUAAUACAGUUACAACAUAAGCUGCGUGUGUGGAUAACCUUGUUAAGAUAAGGCUAAGACUUAGCGUGUCGCACUUUUGUGAAGAAAGGCGACUUGAGCAGCAUUGGUUUCUGACCUAUCAGUUAGUAUGUUCUGUAAGGGAGAACAUAGACUAUGACGGGUAACGGGGGAUGCACGUCUGAUACCGGAGAGGAAGCCUUAGAGACAGCUUUCACGUCCAAGGAUGGCAGCAGGCGCGAAACUUACCCAAUUGUUUUUUGUGACAGAGGUAGUUAUGACGUAUUCUUUAGAGAGAGACCUUGUUAGACAUGGUCCAUAGCGACUGGAGGGCAAGUCUGGUGCCAGCAGCCGCGGUAAUUCCAGCUCCAGUAGUGCAUAUACAUGCUGUAGUUAGAAAGUUUGUAGCCUAUUUAUGGAUUGUUUUAGACAAAAGGACGACUCAAAUUGACCUUUCAUUUGACUAAUGCAUGAAUGUAGAAGCGAUUGAAGGCGAUUGUAUUCACCAGCCAGAGGUAAAAUUUGAUGACCUGGUGAGGACACACGGAGGCGAAAGCGAUUGCCUAGAGCGUAUUCAGUGGUCAAGAACGUAAGCCGGAGGAUCAAAGAUGAUUAGAUACCGUUGUAGUUCCGGCCGUAAAUUAUGCCAACUUGUGCUUCUGCUUCUGCGGAGGCGCAUAGAGAAAUCAAGAGUUUAUGGGCUCUAGGGAUAGUAAUCCGGCAACGGACAAACUUAAAGAAAUUGGCGGAAGGACACCACAAGGAGUGGAUUAUGCGGCUUAAUUUGACUCAACGCGGGACAACUCACCAGAGCCUAUGUGCAGGAGACAGUGAGCUUUGAGAGCGGACUGGAUAGUACUUUGAGUGGUGCAUGGCCGUUUGCAACACGUGAGGUGACUUGUCAGGUUUACUCCGGUAACGUGUGAUGUGCUGUAUGCAAGUAUUUUUGUGAGACUGCAGGCGGUAAGCCUGAUGAAGCGGCGCUAUAACAGGUCAGUGAUGCCCUUGGAUGUUCUGGGCUGCACGCGUAAUACAGUGGGUGCUGUAGAUAUAUAUAGGUGGAAAAGGGCCCGAGACUGGGAUCAUGCUUUGUAAGAAGGAAUGUGAACGUGGAAUUCCUAGUAAUCGCUGCUCACUAAGUAGCGAUGAAUGAGUCCCUGUUCUUUGCACACACCGCCCGUCGCUAUCUGAGAUGGAUGUUUUUAUGAAGAUGCUGCUGUUAGAGGCAUUUGAGUAAGGACGACUAGAUUAGAUAUAAGUCGUAACAAGGCAGCGGUAGAAGAAUCUGCCGCUAGAUCAUAC